UACGGAGGGUGCAAGCGUUGUUCGGAUUCACUGGGUAUAAAGGGUGCGCAGGCGGCUCGGUAAGUCAGGGGUGAAAUAUGACGGCUCAACCGUCAAACUGCCUCUGAAACUGCCUUGCUUGAGUCCGGGAGAGGAAGGUGGAAUUCCUGGUGUAGCGGUGAAAUGCGUAAAUAUCAGGAGGAACACCGGUGGCGAAGGCGGCCUUCUGGCCCGGUACUGACGCUCAUGCACGGAAGCCAGGGGAGCGAACGGGAUUAGAUACCCCGGUAGUCCUGGCCGUAAACGAUGGGCACUAGGUGUUGGAGGAGUCUACCCCUUCAGUGCCGCAGCUAAUGCACUAAGUGCCCCACCUGGGGAGUACGAUCGCAAGGUUGAA
Molecule: ribosomal RNA, 376 nt
Filed under: uncultured bacterium
Lineage: Bacteria
Description: bacterial SSU rRNA
Rfam family: Bacterial small subunit ribosomal RNA
Source: RNAcentral